ACAACCUCUUCUUCUUCGCAUCUCCUGGUCGACACCAACGAUUCCAGAAGAUGGUUUUUGUUUUCUGCUCUCGAAGAGAGACAGAGGUCCACCCCGACGUUUGUUCUGCCCCGGCGCGUUUUCUUGGACGAGACUCUGGGAAAGGGGGCCUACGCGAGAAUUUGCAGAACGGACGUGGCUUCGGUUCUCGCCAAGGUGUUCGUCCUCUCUCCGCACAAGCCGGAUGCUCACACGGUGCUG
This 240-nucleotide non-coding RNA is filed under the name Palpitomonas bilix. The record is from RNAcentral.